Molecule: ribosomal RNA, 94 nt
Filed under: Deferribacteraceae bacterium
Lineage: Bacteria; Pseudomonadati; Deferribacterota; Deferribacteres; Deferribacterales; Deferribacteraceae
Description: partial 16S ribosomal RNA
Rfam family: Bacterial small subunit ribosomal RNA
Source: RNAcentral
AGUAUGGAGAGUUUGAUCCUGGCUCAGAACGAACGCUGGCGGCGUGCUUAACACAUGCAAGUCAGGGAGAAAGGGGCGUUUCGGCGCUUUGAGU